AUCUCCAGCGUUCAGUAACAGGACUCUGAGUUUCGGAAGCUCCUCCCUUUAGACGCCAUUCACUGCAUCCGACCUCCGCCUUCACCCGUCGAGUACGUUACAGUUGCAGUUCCAGACUCAAGCACUGGAUGUGAUUUCACAUGACCGUUCAUCUCGAAUAACCUCGUGAUGGUGGAUACAGAAGAUUUAAACCGCAAUAACUUACAGAGCAAGACGUUUUUACAUUUUCUGCUAUAAAUAAUGAACUGUACAAGGUAUCACCUGUUGAUUUUAAUAUAUAGAAGAAGAAGAAGUAUGCAGCUUCUCUGUUAUCAGCUGAGGACGUUACAGAACGGUCUGAUAAUUCUCCUUGAUCUCUGAACUUCUCUCACAUUGAUCCUAAACCUUCCUGGCAUUAAAAAGAGUGCGGCAGGAUACAGCGAACCUUUGGAAGUCCUUUUCAGGAGAGGAAGAACAAUUGUUGAAGUGGACAUGCUGACUCAGGUCUCGAUGACUGAAGGUGUAUCUGUGCCGGUUUGCCAUCUGCCUGCUAAUAGAGGAUACAGUGCCACCCAAAUUCCUUCCCUUCACCUCCCUGUACUUCCUUCUCUAAACACCACUACAUCUGUCCACACAUUAAAAAUGUUAUUUCAGAUAAAACUGCCGCAUAUCUUUUUAUACAAUAUUUCUUGGCUGAUGUAAGGCUCCAUUUGAGGCCUGCUGGGAAGUCAGUGUGACUUUGUCGCCCCCUAGUGUUGAUUUAAAGCCAGUUCACUCGAUGUAGUAUAAAUGCAGAGCGCCAUCUGUAGGUCAACACGUGGAACUGCUUUAAACUAGGUAAUUCACAUUGACAUUACAGCAUGUUUUAAUCAAAUAUUUGAUCUUUUAAUGAAGGACUCCAACGUCCUAAUUCACCCAAUAAGCUUUUAUU
Labeo rohita (rohu) is the source of this 910-nucleotide long non-coding RNA. RefSeq lists it as uncharacterized. The transcript has 3 exons. NCBI's taxonomy places the organism in Eukaryota, Metazoa, Chordata, Actinopteri, Cypriniformes, Cyprinidae. The record is from RefSeq and is a predicted model, not a curated record.